CCUGCCCUCGUGUGGGGGAUAGCCAUGCUAACGCGUGGGUAAUACCGCAUACGUUCUUCAGGGGGAGUCCCCUGGGGAAGAAAGCUCUGGCGCACGGGAGGGGUUCGCGGCCUAUCAGCUAGUUGGUGCGGUAACGGCGCACCAAGGCGACGACGGGUAGCUGGUCUGAGAGGAUGGCCAGCCACAUUGGGACUGAGAUACGGCCCAG
This 208-nucleotide ribosomal RNA is filed under the name uncultured bacterium. RNAcentral describes it as "partial 16S ribosomal RNA". It matches the Rfam family "Bacterial small subunit ribosomal RNA", at positions 125 to 334 of the family's 1533-position model. The record is from RNAcentral.